RNAcentral lists this ribosomal RNA (497 nucleotides) under uncultured bacterium. Its description in RNAcentral is "partial 16S ribosomal RNA". It matches the Rfam family "Bacterial small subunit ribosomal RNA", at positions 28 to 507 of the family's 1533-position model. The record is from RNAcentral.
GAUGAACGCUGGCGGCGUGCCUAAUACAUGCAAGUCGAGCGAACAGACGAGGAGCUUGCUCCUCUGACGUUAGCGGCGGACGGGUGAGUAACACGUGGAUAACCUACCUAUAAGACUGGGAUAACUUCGGGAAACCGGAGCUAAUACCGGAUAAUAUAUUGAACCGCAUGGUUCAAUAGUGAAAGACGGUUUUGCUGUCACUUAUAGAUGGAUCCGCGCCGCAUUAGCUAGUUGGUAAGGUAACGGCUUACCAAGGCAACGAUGCGUAGCCGACCUGAGAGGGUGAUCGGCCACACUGGAACUGAGACACGGUCCAGACUCCUGCGGGAGGCAGCAGUAGGGAAUCUUCCGCAAUGGGCGAAAGCCUGACGGAGCAACGCCGCGUGAGUGAUGAAGGUCUUCGGAUCGUAAAACUCUGUUAUUAGGGAAAAACAAAUGUGUAAGUAACUAUGCACGUCUUGACGGUACCUAAUCAGAAAGCCACGGCUAACUACGUG